RNAcentral lists this ribosomal RNA (181 nucleotides) under uncultured bacterium. RNAcentral's name for it is "partial 16S ribosomal RNA". It matches the Rfam family "Bacterial small subunit ribosomal RNA", at positions 1320 to 1500 of the family's 1533-position model. The record is from RNAcentral.
AUGAAGUUGGAGUUGCUAGUAAUCGCGGAUCAGCAUGCCGCGGUGAAUACGUUCCCGGGCCUUGUACACACCGCCCGUCACACCAUGGGAGUUGGGAGCGCCCGAAGCCGGUGAGGUAACCGAGAGGAGCCAGCCGUCGAAGGUGAGACCAAUGACUGGGGUGAAGUCGUAACAAGGUACC